RNAcentral lists this ribosomal RNA (632 nucleotides) under Hymenogaster citrinus. RNAcentral describes it as "eukaryotic LSU rRNA". The stretch from base 255 to 408 matches the Rfam family "5.8S ribosomal RNA". The record is from RNAcentral. Lineage: Eukaryota; Fungi; Basidiomycota; Agaricomycetes; Agaricales; Hymenogastraceae.
AAGGAUCAUUAUGAAUGAACUUGGUGUGGUUGUUGCUGGCUCUCUUGUGGGGGCAUGUGCACACCCGCCAUCCUCAUCUCUCCACCUGUGCACCUCUUGUAGACCUGGAUGAAUUUUCCGAGGUAACUCGGUCGGGAGGAAUGCUGCGCUCUUUGCGUCGGCUUUCUUUGCACUUCCAAGCCUACGUUUUUUUCAUAUACCCGUAGUAUGUAACAGAAUGUAUCAUUGGGCCUAAGUGCCUAUAAACCUUAUACAACUUUCAGCAACGGAUCUCUUGGCUCUCGCAUCGAUGAAGAACGCAGCGAAAUGCGAUAAGUAAUGUGAAUUGCAGAAUUCAGUGAAUCAUCGAAUCUUUGAACGCACCUUGCGCUCCUUGGUAUUCCGAGGAGCAUGCCUGUUUGAGUGUCAUUUAAUUCUCAACCUUAUUAGCUUUUGUUGAUAAUGGCUUGGAUGUGGGGGUUUUCUUUUGCUGGCUUUCUUCGGAUGUCAGCUCCCCUUAAAUGUAUUAGCCGGUGCCCUGCGUGGACUAUCCGUUGGUGUGAUAAUUAUCUACGCCGUUGGAUGUCUGCAAAUAGGUUUUGCACUGCUUCUAACUGUCUGWUCAUAWGGACAWKGACANGACAAUUUGACCU